GACGAACGCUGGCGGCGUGCCUAAUACAUGCAAGUCGAGCGGAGUUGAAAAAAAGUUUACUUUUUUUCUUCUCAGCGGCGGACGGGUGAGUAACACGUGGGCAACCUGCCCUGUAGACUGGGAUAACUUCGGGAAACCGAAGCUAAUACCGGAUAAUCAUAGAAGUUGCAUAGCUUCUAUGUAAAAGUUGGGUUUACCUAACACUACAGGAUGGGCCCGCGUCGCAUUAGCUAGUUGGUAAGGUAACGGCUUACCAAGGCGACGAUGCGUAGCCGACCUGAGAGGGUGAUCGGCCACACUGGGACUGAGACACGGCCCAGACUCCUACGGGAGGCAGCAGUAGGGAAUCUUCCGCAAUGGACGAAAGUCUGACGGAGCAACGCCGCGUGAGCGAUGAAGGCCUUCGGGUCGUAAAGCUCUGUUGUUAGGGAAGAACAAGUGCUAUUCGAAUAGGGUGGCACCUGACGUACCAACGAGAAG
This 480-nucleotide ribosomal RNA is filed under the name Bacillus sp. oral taxon C44. RNAcentral describes it as "bacterial SSU rRNA". It matches the Rfam family "Bacterial small subunit ribosomal RNA", at positions 28 to 489 of the family's 1533-position model. Lineage: Bacteria; Bacillati; Bacillota; Bacilli; Caryophanales; Bacillaceae. The record is from RNAcentral.